This 400-nucleotide ribosomal RNA is filed under the name uncultured soil bacterium. Its description in RNAcentral is "bacterial SSU rRNA". It matches the Rfam family "Bacterial small subunit ribosomal RNA", at positions 26 to 411 of the family's 1533-position model. The record is from RNAcentral.
AGAUUGAACGCUGGCGGCAGGCCUAACACAUGCAAGUCGAGCGGCAGCACGGGUACUUGUACCUGGUGGCGAGCGGCGGACGGGUGAGUAAUGCCUAGGAAUCUGCCUGAUAGUGGGGGAUAACGUUCGGAAACGGACGCUAAUACCGCAUACGUCCUACGGGAGAAAGUGGGGGAUCUUCGGACCUCACGCUAUCAGGUGAGCCUAGGUCGGAUUAGCUAGUUGGUAGGUAAGCCUACCAAGGCUACGAUCCGUAACUGGUCUGAGAGGAUGAUUAGUCACACUGGAACUGAGACACGGUCCAGACCUCCGUACGGGAGGUCAGCGAGGUGGGGAAUUAGUUGGAACAAGUGGGACGAAAGGCCUAGGACUCCGAGACCAGUCGCCGCGUGUGUGAAGG